UAACGGGAGUGGCAGACGGGAGAGUAACACGUGGGAACGUGCCCUUUGGUUCGGAACAACCCAGGGAAACUUGGGCUAAUACCGGAUACGCCCCCGAGCAAUCGGGGGAAAGAUUCAUCGCCAAAGGAUCGGCCCGCGUCUGAUUAGCUAGUUGGUGAGGUAACGGCCCACCAAGGCGACGAUCAGUAGCUGGUCUGAGGGGAUGAUCAGCCUCACUGGGACUGAGACACGGCCCAG
Molecule: ribosomal RNA, 237 nt
Filed under: uncultured bacterium
Lineage: Bacteria
Description: partial 16S ribosomal RNA
Rfam family: Bacterial small subunit ribosomal RNA
Source: RNAcentral